UGGUUUGGGGCAAUGGCGGGGCGGUGAUGGAACAGGAGAUCUUAAUGGAGAAGGCGUGCUCUGCCUGAUCUCUCGGCAGUCUCCCACCCAGUGGCCCUGGGCAAGCCCUGCUCCGCUGUUCCCGCCAGACUCAAGGAGGCUUGGCAAGUGAGGACCUGGUUUCAACGUCGAAUCCGGACAGAUUUUAACUAAAUCUCUCAACACUACCUGGAAACUCCACACUGCAUACCAACUACAAAGUUCAGGGAAAGUGGAACGAAUAAAUCGCACCCUCAAAGGAACCCUAGUUACAGGCAUGACUCCAUGGGCCCAUCAUUCCAGAGUGAGAAGAGCCCAUUCUCCAGACAAAGAAAUACAUCAGUGGAAGCCCAGCCAGACCUCCAGAAUCCUCUCUGCCUCUGCAUCUGACGAUUACCCUCUGACUAAUGAACACCUGCACACCAUGGAUCCUGGCCCUCACCAGAAUGGAAUCUCUCAUCCUGGGCAUUAAACUCUCUGCUGCUGCUCCCUCUGACUAAACUGUUCCUCGAAAAUUUGCCCUUUCUAUUAUCUACUGUGUAAUCAUUAAGUUGUUUUGCUGUGCUUACCUGAUUCUCCUAGCUGAACUCAAGUCUCAGCCUGCAUUUCCAAAGUACUUCUCUAUAAUGUUUAAGUGUACAAGAGUUAUAAAGUGCAUAGUCAUCACCCAAGGGAGCAGCCGUCAGUGACCCUACACCUUUAACACCUGUCUUCUCACACUCAGAUAAACCAGCCUGAGUGUAAUGCUCAGCUGCAUAAAAAUAAAUUAAGAUUGAGAAAAACUGGGUAUUUUUUGUUAAGCAUAGAUUUAUCAAGAGUCUGAAGGACUCAUUUCAACUUGUACACACAAGGCCCAUACAGACAAAUGGAUAAGAACAUAAUCAUUUGUGUUCUUCACAAAGUACUCAGGACUUUAAAGAAAAAGUCACAAGGAAAAAUCCUUACUCAAAGCAAUUAAAAUUAUAAAUACAAGCCAUUAUAACCCUAUCAUAAACCAAGAAGAUGAUGCUCCCUAAAACAAAGUGUUUAAAGGGGCAUCAGAGGGGGAGUGAUAAGGAAAAUAUUCAACACAGCCAUCAAGGUCAGCAAAUUGCUUUUUCCUCUAGUUGGCAAAGCACCCCCAGCUCCCUCCUCCAGGCUCCUCUUUUGCCCUGUACAUGCCAAAAUGCCACAUAUCAAAAUAAUAUAAAUUGCUCCCCUUGCUUGUGCUCAGGGCUCACACCUUGGCAGAUUACUCCCCUAUGAGCCCGCCAGUGUGAAAUAAAACCUCAACACUAUGAGACCUCUGAGCACCGCUUGGUUCUUCCAUCAGUGAUCCAGGUUUUCUAGUAUUUUCGGUAACACAACCAUUGUGGAAAGCAAUAUGGAAGUUCCUCAAAAAACUAAAAAUAGAAAUACCGUUUGACCCAGAAUUUCACUCGUGGGAAUUUACCCAAAGAAAACAAGAUCCCAGAU
This is a long non-coding RNA of Manis javanica (Malayan pangolin), 1473 nucleotides long. RefSeq lists it as uncharacterized. NCBI's taxonomy places the organism in Eukaryota, Metazoa, Chordata, Mammalia, Pholidota, Manidae. The record is from RefSeq and is a predicted model, not a curated record.